This 1621-nucleotide long non-coding RNA is filed under the name Fragaria vesca (wild strawberry). RNAcentral's name for it is "long non-coding RNA (FVES_LNC002876)". Lineage: Eukaryota; Viridiplantae; Streptophyta; Magnoliopsida; Rosales; Rosaceae. The record is from RNAcentral.
GAUGAGAGGGUCCUCUUCGCCCUUUCACAUGAUGUCCUCAAUCUCCUAAGAGCCCUGGGGUUGCCGCUGAUAUCCUUCUUGUUCUUUCUCUUGAAUUCCUGAACAAAGUGGUUCACCAUUCUGUUGUCAAAGUCCUCACCACCAAGAUGGGUGUCACCAGCUGUGGCCUUAACCUCAAAGAUACCCUCUUCAAUGGUAAGAAGAGAGACAUCAAAGGUACCACCUCCAAGGUCAAAGAUCAACACAUUCUUCUCACCAACACUGGUGGCCUUCUUGUCAAGACCAUAGGCAAUGGCAGCUGCUGUAGGUUCAUUGAUAAUACGCAAGACAUUGAUACCAGCAAUGACUCCAGCAUCCUUGGUGGCCUGACGCUGAGAAUCGUUGAAGUAAGCAGGCACUGUGACCACUGCGUUCUUGAUGGUGGCACCAAGGUACGCCUCGGCAAUCUCACGCAUCUUGAUGAGGACCAUGGAGGAUAUCUCCUCAGCAGCAAACUGCUUCUCCUCUCCCUUGUAUUGAACUCCAAUCAUGGGCUUCUCAGCUGGGCCAGAGGUGACCUUGAAUGGCCACAACUUCAUGUCACCCUGAACUGAGGCAUCAGUGAAUCUGCGACCAAUCAAACGCUUGGCAUCUGCAACAAUAGAGAAUCAAUAAGCAUAUGGCCAUGAUAUAACAAUUGCAAGUUACAUAAAGCAGUAGCUAGAUUAGAUCUGAAACCAGAAUACUCAGGUUCACUUUUAAGCCUAAUGAUUCUAUAUUGGUUGAUUUUACUUAUAGUAAAAACACUAAUCAAAAUCAAAUUAACAUCUACUUCAGCAACUGAUUUUACAAACAUUCACUACAAUGACAAGCACAAAUCACAAUUAGCUAUCGGCAGAGUACUCUGUUCUUAUUCAAGACUGCAAGUACAACAUUAACCUGAUUUCACAAUUUAGCCAUUGAGCAUCAAUUCAACAAAGCAAGUUCAUUUUUUAAUAAUCAAUUGACCAUUCCACUUAAUUUCAGUCCGUAUAAUGAACAAAGAACCAAUCGAUUUUCUGCUCUGCUAAAGAAAUUUCAAAAUUCAGAGUACUAAGUACAGUAGAUCUAAACUAAUUUCAAAUUCAAAAUCCAAAUCAACAUCAGAGCUAUAGAUUCAAUCAUGUUUCAAUAGUCAAAAACAGCACUAAAAUUUCAAAAAUAUAAUCAGCACAGAUCUACAAAACUACUACAUCAUACAGUAUAGCACAGCCAAAUUUCCAGCAUACAAACUUCAAUACAAGAUCCAAGAUCUACUAAGAACAAGCAUACAGAUCUACUAAGCUGAAACCAAAACACUAAACGAAUCUGAGAUCUUACCAAAAACAGUGUUGAUUGGGUUCAUGGCCACCUGGUUCUUAGCGGCAUCUCCGAUCAACCUCUCGGUGUCGGUGAAAGCCACAUACGACGGCGUGGUCCUGUUCCCCUGGUCAUUGGCGAUGAUCUCAACACGGUCGUGUUGCCAUACGCCGACGCAAGAGUAGGUGGUGCCGAGAUCGAUUCCGAUGGCCGGUCCCUCUCCUUUGCCGGCCAUUUUAAGUCGACGAAGAAAUUGACAAAGGAAAAAAGGGCGGCGGGCGUUGAAGAGAGAGAGAGAAUGGAG